AUCAAAUCUAUCACACGAUCUGACGGCUGUGGUGGCUCCUGACUUUGAAUAGGAAUGAUUUUGUAAGAUCCGAUGGAUGGAAUCCCAUCUAAAGUACAAUCGAAUGGUCAAAAAUAAAUCCAACUUUGAUAAGGAUUAAAACAUCAGAUUUUGGGCUGAUCUGGGCGGUGCAGAGGCAAUUCGACGGCCAGAAUUAAUUUAUACGAGUAUAAUAUGAUUUCUAAAGAUUUUGGGACUCAUUUUAUGAUCA
Molecule: long non-coding RNA, 250 nt
Filed under: Elaeis guineensis (African oil palm)
Lineage: Eukaryota; Viridiplantae; Streptophyta; Magnoliopsida; Arecales; Arecaceae
Description: long non-coding RNA (EGUI_LNC075857)
Source: RNAcentral